RNAcentral lists this ribosomal RNA (404 nucleotides) under uncultured bacterium. Its description in RNAcentral is "partial 16S ribosomal RNA". It matches the Rfam family "Bacterial small subunit ribosomal RNA", at positions 28 to 526 of the family's 1533-position model. The record is from RNAcentral.
GACGAACGCUGGCGGCGUGCCUAAUACAUGCAAGUCGAACGCAGUGGGGACGGGUGAGUAAAACGUGGGUAACCUCCCCAUCAGAGGGGAUAACACUUGGAAACAGGUGCUAAACCGAUACUGAUGGAUGGAGCUGCGGUGCAUUAGCCAGUUGGUGGGGUAACGGCUAACCAAGGCCACGAUGCAUAGCUGGCCUGAGAGGAUGAUCGGCCACACUGGGACUGAGACACGGCCCAGACUCCUACGGGAGGCAGCAGUAGGGAAUCUUGGGCAAUGGACGAAAGUCUGACCGAGCCAUGCCGCGUGAGUGAAGAAGGUUUUCGGAUCGUAAAACUCUGUUAUUAGAGAGGCGGUAUCUAACCAGAAAGCCACGGCUAACUACGUGCCAGCAGCCGCGGUAAUAC